RNAcentral lists this ribosomal RNA (1227 nucleotides) under metagenome. Its description in RNAcentral is "bacterial LSU rRNA". It matches the Rfam family "Bacterial large subunit ribosomal RNA", at positions 1644 to 2894 of the family's 2925-position model. The record is from RNAcentral.
GUACCAUAACCGACACAGGUGGGUAGGUAGAGUAUACUAAGGGGCGCGAGAUAACUCUCUCUAAGGAACUCGGCAAAAUGACUCCGUAACUUCGGGAGAAGGAGUGCCUUAUUUAUAAGGUUGCAAUAACAAGAUCCAAGCAACUGUUUAUCAAAAACACAGGUCUCCGCUAAGUCGUAAGACGAUGUAUGGGGGCUGACGCCUGCCCAGUGCCAGAAGGUUAAAGAAGUUGGUUAGUGUAUGCGAAGCUGAUGACUGAAGCCCUGGUGAACGGCGGCCGUAACUAUAACGGUCCUAAGGUAGCGAAAUUCCUUGUCGGGUAAGUUCCGACCCGCACGAAAGGCGUAAUGAUUUGGAUACUGUCUCGGAGAGAGGCUCGGUGAAAUAGACUUGUCUGUGAAGAUGCGGACUACCUGCACCAGGACAGAAAGACCCUAUGAAGCUUUACUGUAACUUGAAAUUGGAAUUGGACUUUGCUUGCGCAGUAUAGGUGGGAAGCGUUGAAGAUAUUCUUGCGGGAGUAUUGGAGCUAUCAGUGAGAUACCACUCUUGUAAUGUUAGAUUUCUAACUUUGAACCAUAAUCUGGUCAAAGAACAGUUUCAGGUGGGCAGUUUGACUGGGGCGGUCGCCUCCCAAAUGGUAACGGAGGCGUACAAAGGUUUCCUCUGAACGGAUAGAAAUCGUAUCUAGAGUGUAAAGGCAUAAGGAAGCUUGACUGUGAGACCUACAAGUCGAGCAGGGACGAAAGUCGGUCUUAGUGAUCUGACGGUACUGAGUGGAAAGGCCGUCACUCAACGGAUAAAAGUUACUCUAAGGAUAACAGGCUGAUCUCCCCCAAGAGUUCACAUCGACGGGGAGGUUUGGCACCUCGAUGUCGGCUCAUCGCAUCCUGGGGCGGUAGUACGUCCCAAGGGUUGGGCUGUUCGCCCAUGAAAGCGGUACGCGAGCUGGGUUCAGAACGUCGUGAGACAGUUCGGUCCAUAUCCGGUGUAGGCGUUAGAAUAUUGAGAGGAGCCUUCUUUAGUACGAGAGGACCGAGAAGGACACACCGCUGGUGUACCAGUUAUCGUGCCAACGGUAAACGCUGGGUAGCUAUGUGUGGAGUGGAUAACCGCUGAAAGCAUCUAAGUGGGAAGCCCACCUCAAGAUGGGUUAACCUGGUAAGGUCACGGGAAGACCACCCGUUGAUAGGCACUCGGUGGAAGUCCAGCAAUGGAUGAAGCCAA